CGAAAGUUGCGCUAAUACCGCAUAUUCUGUGAGCAGGAAAGCGAGGGGGACCGCAAGGCCUUGCGCUCUUUGAGCGGCCGAUGUCAGAUUAGCUAGUUGGUGAGGUAAGGCUUACCAAGGCGACGAUCUGUAGCGGGUCUGAGAGGAUGAUCCGCCACACUGGAACUGAGACACGGUCCAGACUCCUACGGGAGGCAGCAGGUGGGGUAAUUUUUGGACAAUGGGGCAACCCUGAUCCAGCCAUGCCGCGUGAGUGAAGAAGGCCUUCGGGUUGUAAAGCUCUUUCGGCCGGGAAGAAAUCGCAUGGGUGAAUACCCUGUGUGGAUGACGGUACCGGAAUAAGAAGCACCGGCUAACUACGUG
RNAcentral lists this ribosomal RNA (363 nucleotides) under uncultured bacterium. RNAcentral describes it as "bacterial SSU rRNA". It matches the Rfam family "Bacterial small subunit ribosomal RNA", at positions 152 to 507 of the family's 1533-position model. The record is from RNAcentral.